This 698-nucleotide long non-coding RNA is filed under the name Struthio camelus australis. RNAcentral's name for it is "lncRNA (ENSSCUG00000015270.1)". The record is from RNAcentral. Lineage: Eukaryota; Metazoa; Chordata; Aves; Struthioniformes; Struthionidae.
UCAUAACUUCAUCUAACUGUUCUCCGAACCCACUAGAAAGUUUGACACCCAAAGCAUCCAAACAUCUGACCAUGGGCUCCACAAUUUAACAACAUACUGUAUGAAGAGACACUCCCUUUUGCUUAUCAAAACCCGUCACCUGAUAUUUCAUUUGAUGCUUCCCAGUCUUCAUAUUAUGAGAAACAGUGAGCAAAGACAAGAACGAGAGAGGGCAUCCAAAGAAGGUUAGGAAGCAGGUCCGGGAUAAACAAAACUGGCAUCCAUGGAAGGCAGCAAACAUGAGAAUAGUUUUCAUCGCUGCGAGGAAGCACACGCAACAUGCUCCACGGAGACAAAGUGGAACAUCCUGCACUGUGGCAACUGCAGGAUCAACAGGAAGGAGCAGAAGGAAGGACACGUCUCAUCUCCCCUCGCAACUCAAAGUUGCACGGGGCACCAUCUGAGUCACUGAAAAGCAUCCUGAGGCAUAUUGCACGGCUGAAUAGAGGUGGAAGAUGGGCUAAAGUGAUCCAAGAAUUACUGAUUGAACGUCCCCUAUUUUGAGAGAGAGCUGAAAUAUGGAUUUUCUUUUCACCAACACCACUUGCACAGCUGCAUCAGUCAUUAAGCUGUCCUAAAGAUCUGUUACCCAGGAACGAGAUGCCAGGUACAUAUCGUAUCCUGAGGUGAGUUGUGGCAAGGCAUAAAUUGAUCAUGUG